UUCUACCCCUUCCUCCACGUAACCAAUUCCCCCUUCCCUCCCAUGAAACCAAUCCUCCCGUCUCUCCACUUAUUUUCUGUUGAAUUUUGCUUUCAUUCCCGUCUCUCCCCAUAUUAUCUGUUGAAUUUUGCUUUCUGGAUUCCUGUAACAUGCUUCUCUGCAUCCAUAUAAACACCUUCCACUCUUACAAAACCCUACAUCAUCUUUGAUUUCGCUCUCACACACUUCAAAUUUGUUCUCAAUUGCUUACGACAAGGUAAAUUGAAGGUCUUCACAGCUGUUGAUACUGAACGGAGAUGUGCAUCUGAUUGUAAUCAACAAACAGUUAGGGCAAACUUCAAGAGAGAUCGAGCAGGUAAAGUGUGCCAGAAGUCACCAUAUUCCCCUUCCAUUGAGGUAAAAUUCGUUAAUGUUAUUAAUCAAGUAAACCAGAGUUCAUUAGGGCUAAUUCGUUACAAAAUUAGGGCUAAUUUUGAUACUACCAAGUUUAGGGUUACACACCAAAUUGUGGUUUAGAAUUUGAGAUUGGCUCUAUUAAUGUUAUUAAUCAAGUAAACCAGAGUUCAUUAGGCUUUUAUUUUAAAAGUAGUUGUUGCACCUUUCUAUUUUAAUAUGUAGCAAUAGUGGUGGUCAGAUCAGACGUUUUCCUAAUCUACUACCAGCUGAAUGUCAAGCCACGGUUCUCAUGCUGCAUUAAGGCGUUCUUACAAUUGUUUCAUUAAGAUCUUUUAUAACAAUUAUUAAUUAUUACAUAAGUGUUCGAUUUAAGUGCUUACUGUAACAAAUAUAUUGUGUUUUUUUUUAUUAUGUAAUGGUUGAAGAAAAAGAAGAGUUACCACUGAUGCUGUUUUUGGUGAUGUUGAAAAUACACAUAUCAAGUGUCUACCUAAAACAGAUAAACAUGAUGUUUCAAACUAGAUGGUGAGAUCUUUGUCAUGAUCCCCAUGAUUCAAUGAGUGUUAGAAGCAAAAAUGAUGGGGAAAGUAGUUUUACAGUAGAGCGAUCUUUAAAUACCAACACUCCAUGUGCUGAGUUUUCUGAUGCUUGGGAAGGGAAUAAUGUUUCCUUCUAAUUAUGUUUAAAUAUAGUUAAAGGUGAAAAUGGGUAGGUUGGGUAAUGUCUCUUAUAUAUAUAUUUUUUAAAUUUUUUAAUCUUUAUUUUAUUUAGAACCAAAACAGUCCUGAUGCUAAUAGUUUUAUGUGGGUUUAUAAGAGCCAUUGCUGCUUUAUCUUUAACAACAGUUGGCUGGUUGUGCCAAAAUGGCUUUGGGUUGAAACACGCCUUUUUAUAGUACGGGUGGGUUGUGUUGGGUUGGGUUGACCCACAAACUCUUUUCUGUCCAUGCUUCAAUUUUUGAUAAAUCAUGUUUAUUAUGAUUGCCAAAACGUAUAUGAAAUUGCGAAUCUUAUACUGUUGGAGAUUGUAUGCCUUAAAUUGUUAUUUAUGAUUGCCAAAAUGUAAAUGAAUCUUAAGUUGUUGCAUGUUGGAGAUGUAUGCCUUACGUUGUUAUUAUUCUUCAGAAUUCGCUGUAAUUUAUCUACGGACGUGA
RNAcentral lists this long non-coding RNA (1549 nucleotides) under Helianthus annuus (common sunflower). Its description in RNAcentral is "hypothetical non coding rna". The record is from RNAcentral. Lineage: Eukaryota; Viridiplantae; Streptophyta; Magnoliopsida; Asterales; Asteraceae.